Molecule: long non-coding RNA, 357 nt
Filed under: Homo sapiens (human)
Lineage: Eukaryota; Metazoa; Chordata; Mammalia; Primates; Hominidae
Description: HSALNT0221943
Source: RNAcentral
AGGGGAACUGUUGGAGUGUUUGCAUUUUGGGUUCCUGGCAUAGCAGCUGGUAGGCUUGAUGGGAUUUCAAAAUGAAGUUACUAAUGGAAAUUAUACACUGAGGACAUUCCAAAGAAACUGCUAAGAGAGAAUGGCUUGUGCUAGGUCCAAGAGGGAAAGGACCUUGUCUCAUUCACUGGGAUGUUCUCAGUAUGGAAAAGAAUGCAAGCAAGUGGUGGGGAUUCUGCAGAUAUUUGUUGAAUAAAUAAAUGAAUUUCUGUUUUGUAUUUGUCACUUCCGCUUUGUGAACCAAGUUAAGAGUGAGAUUGAGGGCCGGGCGCAGUGGCUCAAGCCUGUAAUCCCAGCACUUUGGGAGGC